RNAcentral lists this long non-coding RNA (2191 nucleotides) under Homo sapiens (human). Its description in RNAcentral is "HSALNT0027917". Lineage: Eukaryota; Metazoa; Chordata; Mammalia; Primates; Hominidae. The record is from RNAcentral.
CUAAUUCAGUGUUCAUGGCGAUAUGGUUUGGCUGUGUCCCCACUGAAUCUCAUCUUGAAUUGUAGGUCCCAUAAUCCCCAUGUGUUGUGGGAGGGACAAGGUGGAGAUAAUUGAAUCAUGGGUGCAGUUUAUCCCAUCCUGUUCUCGUGAUAGUGUGUUAGUUCUCAUGAGAUCUGAUGGUUUAAUAAGGGGCUUCCUCCUUCACUGGGCACUCAUUCUUCUCCUUCCUGCUGACAUGUGAAGAAGAACAUGUUUGCUUCCCCUUCUGCCAUAAUUGUACAUUUCUUGAGGCCUCCCCAGCCCUGCAGAACUGCUCACAGGAAGAAGGGCCCAGAUGAGACUUUGGGCUUGGACUUUUGAGUUAAUGCUGGAAUGAGGGGGCUUCCCCCUUUGCUGGGCACUCAUUCUUCUCCUUCCUGCUGCCAUGUGAAGAAGGAUGUGUUUGCUUCUCCCUCUGCCAUGAUUGUAAGUUUCCUGAGGCAUUCCCAGCCCUGCAGAACUGUCACACGGAUGAAACAUGGAGGGACCAGAAUGUGAAUCCUGAUCUGUUUCCACUCUCAUUCACUACAACAGGCUUGAGGUGCUGCUGCUGAGCCGGGAGAAUAGAAGCGUCCAAGUCAGUGCCUUCAGAGAUCCAGCUGACUUCAAGAGGGCUGAGGUCCACCCAGGGCCACCAGCAUCAGGAAGGAGACAGCUUUGCAGUGACUCCACCCGCUAUGUGCUGGGAGGCAUUGGCUGACUCCAAAGCACACAGCAAUUUCGGCUUGGCCCACGGCAGCAAACAGCUGUGCCAAUGCCCAUCCUAACGAGAAUAACGCAAGGCUUAGCCUGUAAUCCACCCCUCUGCAGAAACCAAUCAUUCCUCCUCAUUACCGAGCGAAGAAAUGCCUCUCAAGGCUCCUUUUCCUCCUUACAAACAAAAUAAAACAAAUCCUUCCUAUGGAUUUCAUUUGCCAUUUAAUGCAACCUAAUGAUUUCCAAUUGAAACCAUAUUUGUAUUUGUAUUGACUUAUUAAUAGCACAUCCAUUUUCCACACAAUAAAGCCUGAACAUACACUGAGGACUUUGACCAAAAUGCAUUAGGUAGCAUUAAAGAUUAAAUAAACACUGUUUCUAUGAAUAAUGUUUAAUGUCACCUAUUAGUCCAUUGAAAAUUGAUCUCUGGGUACUUCAAGCUGGGGUUCCAAGGAGUACAUUUUGAACAUAUUAUGAGUAAUGACUAUGCAUUAGGACAUGAAAUGGAUUCCAGGCCCUCAGUAGAGCUUGCUACUUUACUAUAUUCUGGUUAAUUUGCACAAAUAGUUGCAAUGUCAAUGGCAAAACCCAAGCACCAAACUGCAAUACAUGCCUGAUUCCGAAAAGCAACAUAGAAAUGGCUUAAAAGAAAAAUGAGAAACAUGUUUUGUUUUUUUUUCCCUUCCUCUGAGAACAGUGGUAGUAUUUGCUUACUUUCAUGUUUAUUGAUCUUUGAUGUUUCUCCUUAAAUUUUGGUAGACUGUGUUCCACACUAGAGUUCAGACAUGAUUUCCUAGCCGGACGCGGUGGCUCACGCCUGUAAUCCCAGCACUUUGGGAGGCCGAGGCGGGCGGAUCACGAGGUCAGGAGAUCGAGACCAUCUGGGUUAACACGGUGAAACCCCGUCUCUACUAAAAAUACAAAAAAAUUAGCCAGGCACAGUGGCAGGUGCCUGUAGUCCCAGCUACUCGGGAGGCUGAGGCAGGAGAAUGGCGUGAACCCAGGAGGCAGAGCUUGCAGUGAGUGGAGAUCGUGCCACUGCACUCCAGCCUGGGUGAUAAAGUGAGACUCUGUCUCAAAAAAAAAAAAAAAAAAAAAAAAUGAGUUCCCUUCUGCUCUGCCACAAGCUAAGGUGUGAGCUCCUCUCAGCUCUCUCCACUUAAAAAAGGAAAUCGUUGGGACACAGGCUCUGAAAGCUCUGGCAUUUCCUGACUCUGUGAUUUCACCAGAUAUAAAUCCCAUAAGGAAAAAGAUGGUGUCCUCUUUGACUUUGUGUCCCAAUUGCCCCAGCACAGUAUCAGACACCCAAAAAAGGCCUGGGUAAGAGGAAGGCUAGACUUUCAGAAAUGUGUUGAGAAGUCAGAUGUUCCUGGUAGACACGGCUUCAUUAGGCCAAGAGUCAUCAUUAUAAUGAUAACAAUUACUGUUUAUUGAGUACCUUCUAUGAGCAGGCGAG